ACGGGAGGCAGCAGUGAGGAAUAUUGGUCAAUGGACGGAAGUCUGAACCAGCCAAGUCGCGUGAAGGAUGAAGGUAUUAUGUAUUGUAAACUUCUUUAGCAGUGGAGUAAUAAGGGGAUCGCGAUCCCUGAUGCAAGUACACUGAGAAUAAGGAUCGGCUAACUCCGUGCCAGCAGCCGCGGUAAUACGGAGGAUCCGAGCGUUAUCCGGAUUUAUUGGGUUUAAAGGGUGCGUAGGCGGGCUGUUAAGUCAGCGGUGAAACCCCCGGGCUCAACCCGGGGACUGCCAUUGAAACUGGCGGCCUUGAGUACGUUGGGAGUGCGCGGAAUGUGUGGUGUAGCGGUGAAAUGCAUAGAUAUCACACAGAACACCGAUCGCGUAGGCAGCGCACUACGCCGCAACUGACGCUGAGGCACGAAGGCGCGGGGAUCGAACAGGAUUAGAUACCCUGGUA
RNAcentral lists this ribosomal RNA (454 nucleotides) under uncultured Parabacteroides sp. RNAcentral's name for it is "partial 16S ribosomal RNA". It matches the Rfam family "Bacterial small subunit ribosomal RNA", at positions 341 to 792 of the family's 1533-position model. The record is from RNAcentral. Lineage: Bacteria; Pseudomonadati; Bacteroidota; Bacteroidia; Bacteroidales; Tannerellaceae.